UACGAAGGGGGCAAGCGUUGUUCGGAAUUACUGGGCGUAAAGGGCGCGUAGGCGGCUUAUCAAGUCAGGCGUGAAAUUCCCGGGCUCAACCUGGGGGCUGCGCUUGAUACUGAUGAGCUUGAAUGCGGGAGAGGAUAGUGGAAUUCCCAGUGUAGAGGUGAAAUUCGUAGAUAUUGGGAAGAACACCAGUGGCGAAGGCGGCUAUCUGGCCCGUAAUUGACGCUGAGGCGCGAAAGCGUGGGGAGCAAACAGG
Molecule: ribosomal RNA, 253 nt
Filed under: uncultured bacterium
Lineage: Bacteria
Also listed under: 1 other name
Description: partial 16S ribosomal RNA
Rfam family: Bacterial small subunit ribosomal RNA
Source: RNAcentral